UGAGUUUGAUUAUGGCUCAGAUUGAACGCUGGCGGUAGGCUUAACACAUGCAAGUCGUGCGAGAAAGUACCUUCGGGUGCGAGUAGAGCGGCGGACGGGUGAGUAACGCGUAGGAAUCUACCUAGUAGAAGGGGAUAGCCCGGGGAAACUCGGAUUAAUACCGUAUACCUCCUUAGGGAGAAAGAGGGCUUAGCUUUGAUGCUCUCGCUAUUAGAUGAGCCUGCGUAAGAUUAGCUUGUUGGUGAGGUAAUGGCUCACCAAGGCGACGAUCUUUAGCUGGUCUGAGAGGACGAUCAGCCACAUUGGGACUGAGACACGGCCCAGACUCCUACGGGAGGCAGCAGUGGGGAAUAUUGGACAAUGGGCGCAAGCCUGAUCCAGCCAUACCGCGUGUGUGAAGAAGGCUUUCGGGUUGUAAAGCACUUUAAGUAANNAGGAAAAGAUUGUAGUUAAUACCUGCAAUCCGUGACGUUACUUACAGAAUAAGGACCGGCUAAUUCCGUGCCAGCAGCCGCGGUAAUACGGAAGGUCCAAGCGUUAAUCGGAAUUACUGGGCGUAAAGCACGCGUA
This 570-nucleotide ribosomal RNA is filed under the name uncultured Gammaproteobacteria bacterium. RNAcentral describes it as "bacterial SSU rRNA". It matches the Rfam family "Bacterial small subunit ribosomal RNA", at positions 1 to 573 of the family's 1533-position model. The record is from RNAcentral. Lineage: Bacteria; Pseudomonadati; Pseudomonadota; Gammaproteobacteria.